RNAcentral lists this unclassified non-coding RNA (715 nucleotides) under Pseudotomentella sp. 113. Its description in RNAcentral is "sequence contains 18S rRNA gene, ITS1, 5.8S rRNA gene, ITS2 and 28S rRNA gene". The stretch from base 229 to 384 matches the Rfam family "5.8S ribosomal RNA". Lineage: Eukaryota; Fungi; Basidiomycota; Agaricomycetes; Thelephorales; Thelephoraceae. The record is from RNAcentral.
CAUUAAUGAAAUGAAUGUCGAGAAGGGUUGUAGCUGGCCUUUUGGGGCAUGUGCACACCUUGAUCGCACAUCCCCCUCUCACACCUGUGCACUAUGUGUAGCUUGGGAUGAUUACAAUGUCAGAAAUGACGUUGAAAGCCCUAGCUAUGAAUUUUUUAUAUAUAAACCCCAUAUACAAAGUUAUAGAAUGGAUAAUGUUAUAGGGGGGGGGGGGGUGGAAAUAUAUACAACUUUCAGCAACGGAUCUCUUGGCCCCUCGCAUCGAUGAAGAACGCAGCGAAAUGCGAUAAGUAAUGUGAAUUGCAGAAUUCAGUGAAUCAUCCAAUCUUUGAACGCCCCCUUGCACUCCUUGGUAUUCCGAGGAGUAUGCCUGUUUGAGUGUCAUGAAAUUCUCCACUGCCUUUUAGCAUUUUUUUGUAAAGGGAAAUUUGAAUUUGAAGAUUGUUUCUUAACGAAAAACUAACCUGCUUUUUUAGCCCCCCCCUAAAAAAAUAACUUUUUCGAAAAAAUAAGACCCCAUAACCCUUAAGGGGAAUAAUUUUUACCUUAAAGGGGGAAACGGGGAAGAAAAUUAACCUCCAUUUUGGGAAAACCUCCUAUGAAAAAGGGGUUGGCUUGGGGAAAAAAAAACCCUUGAAUUGAAAAUUAAGACCAAUUCGACCUCCCAACAGGGGGGCCUCCCCGCUAAAUUAAGGUUUGCAUAAGGGGGAGGAAA